Long non-coding RNA from Octodon degus (degu), 186 nucleotides. RefSeq lists it as uncharacterized. The record is from RefSeq and is a predicted model, not a curated record. The transcript is spliced from 3 exons. Lineage: Eukaryota; Metazoa; Chordata; Mammalia; Rodentia; Octodontidae.
CCUUGAUUUUCCUUAUCUUCUUCAUUGCCGUCCUCUCUAGGCUGUCUUUGGCGAGGAGGGCCCCUGCGGAAUCGUGGUCUAUAACCUCGAUCCAUAUUCUGUCUCACUUGUCUACCUUGUUCUCCUGCACCUGGCUGUCAGCACCUCCAUCACUUCUCCUUGCACAGGAGAAGUGAAGGAGGGUGC